This 186-nucleotide ribosomal RNA is filed under the name Klebsiella pneumoniae. Its description in RNAcentral is "partial 16S ribosomal RNA". It matches the Rfam family "Bacterial small subunit ribosomal RNA", at positions 1358 to 1533 of the family's 1533-position model. The record is from RNAcentral. Lineage: Bacteria; Pseudomonadati; Pseudomonadota; Gammaproteobacteria; Enterobacterales; Enterobacteriaceae.
UACGGUGAAUACGUUCCCGGGCCUUGUACACACCGCCCGUCACACCAUGGGAGUGGGUUGCAAAAGAAGUAGGUAGCUUAACCUUCGGGAGGGCGCUUACCACUUUGUGAUUCAUGACUGGGGUGAAGUCGUAACAAGGUAACCGUAGGGGAACCUGCGGUUGGAUCACCUCCUUACCUUAAAGAA